Molecule: ribosomal RNA, 195 nt
Filed under: uncultured Acidobacteriota bacterium
Lineage: Bacteria; Pseudomonadati; Acidobacteriota
Description: uncultured Acidobacteria bacterium partial 16S ribosomal RNA
Rfam family: Bacterial small subunit ribosomal RNA
Source: RNAcentral
CCUACGGGAGGCAGCAGUGAGGAAUUUUGGACAAUGGGCGAAAGCCUGAUCCAGCAACGCCGCGUGGACGAUGAAGGUCUUCGGAUUGUAAAGUCCUGUCGAGUGGGAAGAACGGCGCGAGGGUUAACAGCCUUCACGUCUGACUGUACCACCAGAGGAAGCCCCGGCUAACUCCGUGCCAGCAGCCGCGGUAAU